AAAGUUGAAAUAAAACAUUAUAUUCAGUUUCGACCUGAAAUUAUAGUUAUUUAAUUAACUCUUCUUUA
RNAcentral lists this transfer RNA (68 nucleotides) under Neodiprion qinghaiicus. Its description in RNAcentral is "tRNA-Arg". The record is from RNAcentral. Lineage: Eukaryota; Metazoa; Arthropoda; Insecta; Hymenoptera; Diprionidae.